AUAAGCACUCCCACUAUUAUUCAUCGCAUUUCUAAGUUAUUAAGACAACACUCCCACUAAUUAAAAUUGGUACAGACAAUAGAGUAAAUAGAGUAAUCGGACCAGGAGCUCUUGAUUCCCCUUGCAUGGAUGCCUCAAUUGUGUCAUUAUUCUUAUCUUGGAAAGACAAGUAGCUUAAUUGAAUGGCUACUCAGCUCAAGCAAGAAAUGAAACGGAAGCUUAAAUUUCUUCCUUGUUUGGAGCAAUGAAAACAAGCUGAAAGCUGCCACCAUGGUCACGGUUUGAGAAGAGAAAGAAGAAUAAGGAGAAAUAUAUGAA
RNAcentral lists this unclassified non-coding RNA (318 nucleotides) under Hevea brasiliensis (rubber tree). The record is from RNAcentral. Lineage: Eukaryota; Viridiplantae; Streptophyta; Magnoliopsida; Malpighiales; Euphorbiaceae.